UCGGUCCUAAACUUGCCGUUGUUUUUAAUAAAAAUUAUACAUGCAAGCUUCAACAAACCAGUGAGAAUGCCCACAAAUCCCUAGACAGAGACCAGGAGCAGGCAUCAGGAACACAACCACUUAGCCCAAAACGCCUUGCUAUGCCACACCCACAAGGGCCAUCAGCAGUAAAAAGUAUUAAGAAAUAAGCGAAAGCUUGACUUAGUUAUUAUUAAACCAGUUGGUAAAUUUCGUGCCAGCCACCGCGGUUAUACGAAAAGCUAGAAACAACGCCCCACGGCGUAAAGAGUGAUAAAAGAUUUUAACUGUUACAGGAAAACUGCAACAAAGUUGUAAAACACUACCGACUGCAAGAACAACAACAAAAACAAACCUGUAAACCACUUAAUAUCACGAGAGCUGGGAAACAAACUGGGAUUAGAUACCCCACUAUGCCCAACCGUAAACAAAAACAGCACCCGUACAAAGCUGUUCGCCAGAGGACUACCAGUACAAGACUCAAAACUCCAAGGACUUGGCGGUGCCCCAUAUCAGCCUAGAGGAGCCUGUCCUAUAAUCGAUACCCCCCGAUAUACCUCACCACCCAUUGAAACUCAGCCUAUAUACCGCCGUCGUCAGCCUACCUUGUGAAAGAAAUAAAGUAAGCAAAAUAGCCAUAAACUAGAACGUCAGGUCAAGGUGUAGCACAUGGGGUGGUAGAGAUGGGCUACACUCUCUAGCCUAGAGAAUACAGACAGCACAAUGAAACCCUGCUCAAAGGCGGAUUUAGUAGUAAGAUAAACAAGAAAGUCUAUCUUAAACCAGCCCUGGGACGCGCACACACCGCCCGUCACCCUCAUCA
RNAcentral lists this non-coding RNA (841 nucleotides) under Lampropholis guichenoti. RNAcentral's name for it is "partial 12S ribosomal RNA". It matches the Rfam family "Bacterial small subunit ribosomal RNA". Lineage: Eukaryota; Metazoa; Chordata; Lepidosauria; Squamata; Scincidae. The record is from RNAcentral.